This is a long non-coding RNA of Neopelma chrysocephalum (saffron-crested tyrant-manakin), 353 nucleotides long. RefSeq lists it as uncharacterized. The record is from RefSeq and is a predicted model, not a curated record. NCBI's taxonomy places the organism in Eukaryota, Metazoa, Chordata, Aves, Passeriformes, Pipridae. The transcript is spliced from 2 exons.
CUAUGAUGCAAUUCCCCCUCACAGUCAUCGUGGAUCCGCGGGGGAGGUGUCGGGUUGUCACCUCACAACCAGGGUGUUCCUUACGGUCGGACGUAUGUACGUCCGGAGCGAUGCGGGCUGUGUUCCAGGAGUGUCUCUGGCAGUUUUGGAGUGAAGUUUUCAUGUUCUGGAAAAGAGAAGCAAAGGGGAGGCGCUGAGCAUGUAAGUCUCUGUUGGAGAGGUGAAAAAGGGAAAAACAAACACAGCAGCUUUUCAAGUACCAUUUUCAGAUGCUGGAAAGGGAAUUUUAGGUGGAUGAUCAGCACCCAGUGCCUGAUAGGUGCACACAGAGAAUAAAAAGAAUGUCACAAGUA